RNAcentral lists this non-coding RNA (940 nucleotides) under Trilepida macrolepis (big-scaled blind snake). RNAcentral's name for it is "partial 12S ribosomal RNA". It matches the Rfam family "Bacterial small subunit ribosomal RNA". The record is from RNAcentral. Lineage: Eukaryota; Metazoa; Chordata; Lepidosauria; Squamata; Leptotyphlopidae.
GCCCAGCCCAAAAACAAAAGUCUUGGUCCUGAACCUCACAUUCCCUCUUCCCGAAGUUAUACAUGCAAGCCUCAACGAAACAGUGAGUUGCCCACACAAUCCACUAAAGGAAAAAGUGGAGCUGGCAUCAGAACAUGGACACCCAAUCAAUAACGCCACGUAACACCACACCUACACAGGUAGCUCAGCAGUAACCAAAAUUAGGCAAUAAACGAAAGCUCGACCUAGUCACGGGGAAAAAAGCCGGUAAAACUCGUGCCAGCUACCGCGGUUAUACGAGGGGCUUUAGAGAACGUUAAAACGGCGUAAAGACGGCCAGAGAAAAUCAAAAACUUAAGGACAAAAACUAAACUGGCUGUCUAACGCCAAGCCAAAAGAAUCCCAACGCCUUAACAUAAAGAUAACUUCAGCCACAAAAGCUAGGGAACAAACUAGGAUUAGAUACCCUACUAUGCCUAGCCCUACAAGGCAAACCACCGCCCGCCCGACUAAUACAAGCAAAAGCUCAAAACUCAAAGGACUUGACGGUGACCCAUAUCAACCUAGAGGAGCCUGUCCCAUAAUCGAUAACCCACGCUACACCCAACCACCUCUCGCCAAUCAGUCUAUAUACCGCCGCCGUCAGCUCACCCUGUAAAGGAACAAAAGUGAGCAAAACCGUAAUACACAAAAACGCCAGGUCAAAGCGUAGCAAAUGAGGUGGAAUAAGAUGGGCUACAUUCUCCACACGGAGCCUACGAAAGAAUAUAAUGAAAAAAUACCCGAAGCCGGAUUUAGCAGUAAGAUAAGCAAGCAUGCCUACCUGAACAAUAGCACUGGGACGCGUACACACCGCCCGUCACCCCCAUCCCAUACCACCAAAAAAAUAAAUAAAAGACCUAUCAACAAAAGAUGGGGUAAGUCGUAACAUGGUAAGCGUACUGGAAAGUGCGCUUGACAC